UUUUCUACUGAGAAUAAAGGUAGGUGCUGCCCUGAUUUGGGGAAAGCUGGGCCCUGGAAGUAGGGAUGUGAUCUAGCCAAGUCUCAGACAGAGAGAAGCAGCUCUUUGGCUAGGACAGAAGCCCCAUCUCUUGACAUUUGACCUUCAGAUUCCUACAGUUUAAAAAUUAAUCACCAGAAAAUGAAUACUUCCCAUUUUCCCUCAGCUAGACCAAAGUCCUAAGUGCUGGCUCUAACUAAGCCAGGGGUUGUCUGUCAAAAUAAAUUGCAGGGGUGGGAGUCGGGCUGGUAGGGACCAGGCCAAUCAGCCCCAAGCUAGCAGCCUCCAGGGUUUGCUCUGGGCUCCUGGCUGGUUAGACCAGCCCUGCCAGGGCUCCUUGGAGAGCAGGGUGGAGAUGCAGGGCUUGGGAGAGGAGCAGCGAGGCCCGGGAGGGUGGGGCUGAGCAGGUCUCUGCAGCAGGCGGGAGAGGAGGAAAUGGGGUGGAGGAAUUGUGUUCAGGUGUGCACCGCCACCGAAGGCCAGGCUUCAGAAGGGGUUGAGGCUGCCUGCCCAGCCAGGGAGGAGAAGGAAGCUCUCGGUGGCUGUGAUGCCUGUUUGAGGAUACUUGAGGUGUCUCAGCCCAGUCUCCCUCCCCAGAAGAGGAAACCAAGAAGGGCCCAAGGCAUGCCAGCUCCCAGAGAGGAGCAUCUAGCAACAUGCCCAGCAUCCUGUAGAUGCUCUCUGGAAUGA
This 729-nucleotide long non-coding RNA is filed under the name Bos grunniens (domestic yak). RNAcentral describes it as "lncRNA (ENSBGRG00000000578.1)". The record is from RNAcentral. Lineage: Eukaryota; Metazoa; Chordata; Mammalia; Artiodactyla; Bovidae.